AACGCAUAUUGCGCCCUUUGGUAUUCCGAAGGGCAUGCCUGUUCGAGCGUCAUUAUCGCCCCUCAAGCCCUGUGCUUGACGUUGGAUGGUUUUGGUCGAGUGACAUUGACCCCUCCUAAAGACAAUGACGGCGGCCUGUGGAACCCCCGGUACACUGAGCUUGUAAACUAAGCACGUAUCGGAGAUGGGUGCCCAGGGCACGGUCCUUACCCCUUUAAGUGGGGAAUAUUUUCAAGGUUGACCUCGGAUCAGGUAGGAAUACGCGCUGAACUUAA
RNAcentral lists this unclassified non-coding RNA (275 nucleotides) under uncultured fungus. RNAcentral describes it as "partial contains 5.8S ribosomal RNA, internal transcribed spacer 2, and large subunit ribosomal RNA". The stretch from base 1 to 52 matches the Rfam family "5.8S ribosomal RNA", at positions 103 to 154 of the family's 154-position model. Lineage: Eukaryota; Fungi. The record is from RNAcentral.